RNAcentral lists this ribosomal RNA (351 nucleotides) under uncultured bacterium. RNAcentral describes it as "partial 16S ribosomal RNA". It matches the Rfam family "Bacterial small subunit ribosomal RNA", at positions 338 to 703 of the family's 1533-position model. The record is from RNAcentral.
CCUACGGGUGGCAGCAGUGAGGAAUAUUGGUCAAUGGGGGGAACCCUGAUCCAGCGACGCCGCGUGAGUGAAGAAGUAUUUCGGUAUGUAAAGCUCUAUCGGCAGGGAAGAAAGAAAUGACGGUACCUGACUAAGAAGCCCCGGCUAACUACGGCCCAGCAGCCGCGGUAAUACGUAGGGGGCAAGCGUUAGCCGGAUUUACUGGGUGUAAAGGGAGCGUAGACGGCGAGGCAAGUCUGAAGUGAAAGGCGGGGGCCCAACCCCCGGACUGCUUUGGAAACGGUCUGGCUGGAGUGCAGGAGCGGUCAGUGGACUUCCUAGUGUAGCGGUGACAUGCGUAGAUAUUAGGAG